Molecule: small RNA, 150 nt
Filed under: uncultured Paenibacillus sp.
Lineage: Bacteria; Bacillati; Bacillota; Bacilli; Caryophanales; Paenibacillaceae
Description: ydaO/yuaA leader
Rfam family: c-di-AMP riboswitch aptamer (ydaO/yuaA leader)
About the family: This family represents a conserved RNA structure found upstream of the ydaO and yuaA genes in Bacillus subtilis and related genes in other bacteria. The ydaO/yuaA element is thought to act as a genetic "off" switch for the ydaO and yuaA genes in its native state. It is believed that the element may be triggered during osmotic shock leading to activation of ydaO, a predicted amino acid transporter gene, and members of the yuaA-yubG operon which code for KtrA and KtrB K+ transporters.
Source: RNAcentral
UAUAAAUGGCCGAAUUUCUUUACGAAAACGGGGGAACCGAUUUUUAGGGGUGAGUUUCACUGAAUUCCUGGAUAUUCCAAGGAUCCAAGCGAAUAGGGCAACCGUUCAUGUCCGAAUCCGUCAGCUAACCUCGUAGGCCUUUGAGCAGGG